GCAAGAUGCGUAGCCGACCUGAGAGGGUGAUCGGCCACACUGGGACUGAGACACGGCCCAGACUCCUACGGGAGGCAGCAGUAGGGAAUCUUCCGCAAUGGACGAAAGUCUGACGGAGCAACGCCGCGUGAGUGAUGAAGGUUUUCGGAUCGUAAAGCUCUGUUGUUAGGGAAGAACAAGUACCGUUCGAAUAGGGCGGUACCUUGACGGUACCUAACCAGAAAGCCACGGCUAACUACGUGCCAGCAGCCGCGGUAAUACGUAGGUGGCAAGCGUUGUCCGGAAUUAUUGGGCGUAAAGGGCUCGCAGGCGGUUUCUUAAGUCUGAUGUGAAAGCCCCCGGCUCAACCGGGGAGGGUCAUUGGAAACUGGGGAACUUGAGUGCAGAAGAGGAGAGUGGAAUUCCACGUGUAGCGGUGAAAUGCGUAGAGAUGUGGAGGAACACCAGUGGCGAAGGCGACUCUCUGGUCUGUAACUGACGCUGAGGAGCGAAAGCGUGGGGAGCGAACAGGAUUAGAUACCCUGGUAGUCCACGCCGUAAACGAUGAGUGCUAAGUGUUAGGGGGUUUCCGCCCCUUAGUGCUGCAGCUAACG
RNAcentral lists this ribosomal RNA (593 nucleotides) under Bacillus subtilis. Its description in RNAcentral is "bacterial SSU rRNA". It matches the Rfam family "Bacterial small subunit ribosomal RNA", at positions 274 to 857 of the family's 1533-position model. Lineage: Bacteria; Bacillati; Bacillota; Bacilli; Caryophanales; Bacillaceae. The record is from RNAcentral.